GUUUUGAUAACUGUGUUUGAAUGGGUUUGUUAGCUUUCACAUGGAUGCACCAAGCAGGCUAGAUACUGAGCCAUGGGAAGCAGAGCAUCAAAAGACCUGCAUAACAAGGUUAGUAGCAAAAAAACAUCUAGAACACUGUUUAACCUCUUCCUGACAUCUGCCAUGUCCUUCCUUUCCUUGUGCCUCAACAUAACCCAAAACGAUCAAUGGGGGCAAUCACAUGUGUGGUGCUGAUGUGAUGAUUCAAGAAAACAGAAUUAUCGACCAAUCCAGUGUGAAGAAUAAAGGAAAAAAGAGGCUACAAUCAAAUGCAGAUGAAAAUGAGACGUCUAUUGCUUCGCAGAGAGAAGACAAAUAAACACAAUUAAGGGAUUAAUCAUUUUUCUGCAUUCUCUUUCAAGGACAUAUUCACUGGAGUCCGAGCAAUAUGUAACAUGAUAUAUCAAAGUGAUUUGUUCAAAAUUACCAGUUUGUCUAAUUUUUAUUAUUGCGAUGAGCUAAAGAUGAAAUUUCCACAGCAGUUCAGAAAUUGCUUUGUAAUGAUAAACUCUGUGUCUAUCCACAUUGGCAUGAAGGAGAAAUCAGCCUAAUUAAACAAACAACAACAGCAAAAUUGCAGUAAAUUAGUAGUACUGUAUAUAAAAUGAUUUUUUUGUGCUAACCGGGGGCCAAAAUACCAUUAUAAACAUCACUUCUUAACUGUUCUCAACACCUAUAUGGAACACACAUGUUGGUUGGCCAGCUCUGUAGUAUGCAGUCACCAAGACAGAGGCCCUCAUUUACUAAGCCUAACCCAACAUUUUUUUUUUAUAGUGGUUUGCAGACUAAAUAUCGGCACAUGCCUGUGCGACAAUGUCUGUGACAUUGGCCCUGAUUUACUAUUGUAAACCUGACCUGUUUUGUCGUGUUGUGCACCAGAAAUUCUGUCUGCACCUGAAUUUGCACUAAAAUUGAAAAACAAAAAAACAACUAUCUCUCCACUUUACUGAGAAAAACCGAAAAGGAGCAAGACCAUUGGGGAAAGUGGGCGUGGGUGCCGAAAAGGGGCAUGUGCCCAACAUUUUCACAAAAACCCAACAUAUUUACUAAGGUUUCCACAGAAAAUGUGGUGGAUUUGAGAUGAGGAAAACCCUACAGAUCAGAGCAUGUGUAAAAAAAAGCAAAGUAUAGGGAAAGUGCAAAAUGUUGGGAAACCUUAGUGAAUACUGUGAAAUAAAAAUUUUAGGGAAUUGAAACCCACAAAGAAAACUAUACUCCCAACUACAAACCAAAUGUCAGAAAUCACUCGGAAAUCACUCGGAGAGUCUACUAAUCUAAAAAAAAACGACAUUUUCCCAAAACCCCUCUGUUUCUUGUCCAUAACCCGAUGAAAAAACAGAGAAGAGGGGAUUGUGAAAACUCCACUGCCAGAGGUUGGUGUAAAAACAGGUCGAAUGGUUGGAACUUCCAAAGCAUGGUUAUUAUGGCCAAUAUGCAUAAACCCAAAUUAUAAAGACUCGUUCACUUAACUCACCUUUCAUCCGUUAAUAGUAUAUAUGGACAAAACUGUGCAACUAGGUGUGAAAUUUGCACUAAAUGUGUAUUUUAAAUGCUGUUGUUUUUGAUGUUUGCAUUGUUUAAUGGUAGUACUUUCUAACAUUAUCUGUGGUUUAUUAAAUAGGUAUUGCACAACUUUAUUUGUAGUAUUGCCAACAUAAUCCACUUUUAGCCUUUUCUUACACCUGGUCUGUAGAAUGUCGUCACUAUGGCUCGCAGCCUCUGUGUAAAAAUGCAUGCUCAAAUGGUAUUCCAACAUUUUGUAAAUGAUUUCUCAGGAAUUUGGCAAAUAUUUUGGAGAUUUCAUGCAUUGUUGGUUGUUGGGGUGGUGUCUAUUGCCUCAGAUUCUCACAUACCGGAAGAUAAACAGUUUUUUCCCCGUGUUUUUUGUCCUUUCCGUUUAGGAUUUAGAAAAAACUGUGUGCGCCAAAAAAAUAAAAUAAACAAAAGGACUCUAAAAGAAAAACUGAGGACAAAAAUGACCUGACAACCAAAAACCAUGCACUCUUAGUAAAUAAGGGCCAGAGUCUUGGUGACUGCAUACUACAGUGCUACCGGCACUUUGUGUGCUGCCACAUGGUGCACUUUGCUCCACUUUUUUACUAGGUUAUUUUUGGUUGUUCUAUGCUGUAACAUUACAUGCAAUGGCGAAUGCCAUGCUUGUACCCUGUGUAUGGCUGGGUUCACAUAUAUCAGUCGUCCGGCAAAGUUUCCCUCCGGCGUGCACCGGAGGGAAACUGAUGCUAGAACUGAUCCCUUGGAAACAACCAAGUCAUGGUUUAACAGAGGCUUUACUGAGUUAAGACAUGUGUAAUUAUCUUCACAGCUAGGCCAAAAUCCCAGAGAGUCAACCAGUAACAUGGAAAGGGCCCUGCAGCUUGCUGGGACUUGUAGUUAUUGUAAUAGACUUUAGUUCAGCCAGGCAGACUAGAAUAGACUUGAUCAGUGUCUUGACUUUAGUAGAGACAGCAGACAUAGAUGAGAUGACUUACUGACAAUGUGGCUGGUGUGCAGGCUUUGUGGCCUCCAAGUGUACUGGACACAGGAUCUGUGAAGUCCGUGCUUUGCUGUCCUCAGCAGAAAGAGAGAGAAUUAUAAUGGCCGCCUCCUUAUAUAGAGGGGGGCUGUGCCAAAGCCCAUUGGUCAAGCUGCGGGUCAUGUGUUAAUCUUGUGCCCUCUGGGUAACAUGUGAUAACAUAAACAUAACAUGUGACAUCUCACAGAUCCUUUAGAUGACCUCUCACAGGUCCUUUAUACUAACUAUACAUUAAUACACUGACUACAAUUCUAUUACAAUAAAUGACUGUAUAGUAACAGCAGGGGAGACACUGCAGGAGAGCCCCCAGGUCACUGAAGGACUCAACCUGACAUGGAAUAAGUGUAGUGCAGGACCAUGUCCUGUACUGGAACAUUACACAUUUUUUUCCACUGCUGAAAUGUUUCAGUGUGAAUGGGUCAGUCCCAUUUACACCAAUGGUUAGGCUUGUUCAGCGGAAUUCCUGAGCACAAUUACACCCUACCAUAGAAAUUCCUGUAGGGUGAACCCUAAGUGGUCUCUACUUAGCAAGCAGUGUCACCUAGCUAGUGUGUGCGUCCUAGAUAAAGCAUUGUGGAGACUAUCCCCUCCUAUGUUGGUUCCCAUAGUCUAAUUUAAACCAUGGAUAUAGAGGGGAAUUUAUUAAAACCUGUUAAGAGGAAAAGUUGUUGAGUUAUAGUAGUAGGUGCAGUUAUUCAUGUGAUAAUGGGAUUGAACUGUUUGGCAUUUUUACAGUUACUUUUUACAACUAUUGGUCACAUAAUACUAUAGUGUUUAACUAUAGUGGUGUCAUUAAAUAUGUAAUACUGUAGUUAAGCCAAACUUUUUAAGGUAUAGCAUUUAUUUAUACAUGCUUUUAAUGGGAGUUAAAUUAUUGAUUGUUUGUUAUUUUAAGCACUCAUUUAUGCAUUGUGUUUUGUAUUUACAAUCAUAAUUCGGAAUUAUGUGACAGUAACUUUGCUAUACUUUGCGUCAUUGUUGUACUGAAUUAUUAAUGCAGUUUAGUGAUAUUAUGUUCGAUAUAUGUGCUUGUUUUGCCGAAAAUUUAAAUGAUAUUAUUAAGGCUUGGUUGUGACAAAUUUGUUUACAUGCACGGUGCUAGAUACUGUGGUUGUGCCUCUAUUUUUCAUAUGUAUGAUUCGUUUUUAUGUACAUUGGUUUUAAUAUGAUUUACUAAAGAUUUACAUAUUUUAAUAAAUUA
Molecule: long non-coding RNA, 3773 nt
Organism: Hyla sarda
Lineage: Eukaryota; Metazoa; Chordata; Amphibia; Anura; Hylidae
Exons: 5
Source: RefSeq, a predicted model, not a curated record